CGCUGCAUUAGCUAGUUGGUAAGGUAACGGCUUACCAAGGCAACGAUGCAUAGCCGACCUGAGAGGGUGAUCGGCCACACUGGAACUGAGACACGGUCCAGACUCCUACGGGAGGCAGCAGUAGGGAAUCUUCCGCAAUGGGCGAAAGCCUGACGGAGCAACGCCGCGUGAGUGAUGAAGGUCUUCGGAUCGUAAAACUCUGUUAUUAGGGAAGAACAUAUGUGUAAGUAACUGUGCACAUCUUGACGGUACCUAAUCAGAAAGCCACGGCUAACUACGUGCCAGCAGCCGCGGUAAUACGUAGGUGGCAAGCGUUAUCCGGAAUUAUUGGGCGUAAAGCGCGCGUAGGCGGUUUUUUAAGUCUGAUGUGAAAGCCCACGGCUCAACCGUGGAGGGUCAUUGGAAACUGGAAAACUUGAGUGCAGAAGAGGAAAGUGGAAUUCCAUGUGUAGCGGUGAAAUGCGCAGAGAUAUGGAGGAACACCAGUGGCGAAGGCGACUUUCUGGUCUGUAACUGACGCUGAUGUGCGAAAGCGUGGGGAUCAAACAGGAUUAGAUACCCUGGUAGUCCACGCCGUAAACGAUGAGUGCUAAGUGUUAGGGGGUUUCCGCCCCUUAGUGCUGCAGCUAACGCAUUAAGCACUCCGCCUGGGGAGUACGACCGCAAGGUUGAAACUCAAAGGAAUUGACGGGGACCCGCACAAGCGGUGGAGCAUGUGGUUUAAUUCGAAGCAACGCGAAGAACCUUACCAAAUCUUGACAUCCUUUGACAACUCUAGAGAUAGAGCCUUCCCCUUCGGGGGACAAAGUGACAGGUGGUGCAUGGUUGUCGUCAGCUCGUGUCGUGAGAUGUUGGGUUAAGUCCCGCAACGAGCGCAACCCUUAAGCUUAGUUGCCAUCAUUAAGUUGGGCACUCUAAGUUGACUGCCGGUGACAAACCGGAGGAAGGUGGGGAUGACGUCAAAUCAUCAUGCCCCUUAUGAUUUGGGCUACACACGUGCUACAAUGGACAAUACAAAGGGCAGCGAAACCGCGAGGUCAAGCAAAUCCCAUAAAGUUGUUCUCAGUUCGGAUUGUAGUCUGCAACUCGACUACAUGAAGCUGGAAUCGCUAGUAAUCGUAGAUCAGCAUGCUACGGUGAAUACGUUCCCGGGUCUUGUACACACCGCCCGUCACACCACGAGAGUUUGUAACACCCGAAGCCGGUGGAGUAACCUUUUAGGAGCUAGCCGUCGAAGGUGGGACAAAUGAUUGGGGUG
This 1258-nucleotide ribosomal RNA is filed under the name Staphylococcus aureus. Its description in RNAcentral is "bacterial SSU rRNA". It matches the Rfam family "Bacterial small subunit ribosomal RNA", at positions 234 to 1482 of the family's 1533-position model. The record is from RNAcentral. Lineage: Bacteria; Bacillati; Bacillota; Bacilli; Caryophanales; Staphylococcaceae.